This 353-nucleotide ribosomal RNA is filed under the name uncultured bacterium. RNAcentral describes it as "bacterial SSU rRNA". It matches the Rfam family "Bacterial small subunit ribosomal RNA", at positions 29 to 412 of the family's 1533-position model. The record is from RNAcentral.
AACGAACGCUGGCGGCAGGCCUAACACAUGCAAGUCGAACGCUCCGCAAGGGGAGUGGCGCACGGGUGAGUAACACGUGGGAACCUACCUUCUGGUACGGAACAACCAAGGGAAACUCUGGCUGAUACCGUAUACGACCUCCGGGUGAAAGAUUGAUCGCCGGAAGAGGGGCCCGCGUCCGAUUAGGUAGUUGGUGAGGUAACGGCUCACCAAGCCUGCGAUCGGUAGCUGGUCUGAGAGGAUGACCAGCCACACUGGGACUGAGACACGGCCCAGACUCCUACGGGAGGCAGCAGUGGGAAUAUUGGACAAUGGGCGCAAGCCUGAUCCAGCCAUGCCGCGUGAGUGAUGAA